UUGAACGCUGGCGGCAUGCUUUACCCCUGCCAGUCGAACGGUAACAGGCCGUAAGGUGCUGACGAGUGGCGAACGGGUGAGUAAUGCAUCGGAACGUGCCCAGUCGUGGGGGAUAACUACUCGAAAGAGUAGCUAAUACCGCAUACGAUCUAUGGAUGAAAGCGGGGGACCGUAAGGCCUCGCGCGAUUGGAGCGGCCGAUGUCAGAUUAGGUAGUUGGUGGGGUAAAGGCUCACCAAGCCAACGAUCUGUAGCUGGUCUGAGAGGACGACCAGCCACACUGGGACUGAGACACGGCCCAGACUCCUACGGGAGGCAGCAGUGGGGAAUUUUGGACAAUGGGCGCAAGCCUGAUCCAGCAAUGCCGCGUGCAGGAAGAAGGCCUUCGGGUUGUAAACUGCUUUUGUACGGAACGAAACGGCUCUGGUUAAUACCCGGGGCUAAUGACGGUACCGUAAGAAUAAGCACCGGCUAACUACGUG
This 481-nucleotide ribosomal RNA is filed under the name uncultured bacterium. Its description in RNAcentral is "partial 16S ribosomal RNA". It matches the Rfam family "Bacterial small subunit ribosomal RNA", at positions 30 to 507 of the family's 1533-position model. The record is from RNAcentral.